UACGUAGGGAGCAAGCGUUGUCCGGAAUCAUUGGGCGUAAAGCGCGCGUAGGUGGCCUCAUAAGUCCGCUGUGAAAGUCAAAGGCUCAACCUUUGAAAGCCGGUGGAUACUGUGAGGCUAGAGUACGGAAGAGGCGAGUGGAAUUCCUGGUGUAGCGGUGAAAUGCGCAGAUAUCAGGAGGAACACCGGUGGCGAAGGCGGGUCUCUGGGCCGAUACUGACGCUGAGGAGCGAAAGCAUGGGUAGCGAACAGG
This 253-nucleotide ribosomal RNA is filed under the name uncultured bacterium. RNAcentral describes it as "partial 16S ribosomal RNA". It matches the Rfam family "Bacterial small subunit ribosomal RNA", at positions 524 to 776 of the family's 1533-position model. The record is from RNAcentral.